This 521-nucleotide ribosomal RNA is filed under the name Xanthochorema neocaledonia. Its description in RNAcentral is "partial 16S ribosomal RNA". Lineage: Eukaryota; Metazoa; Arthropoda; Insecta; Trichoptera; Hydrobiosidae. The record is from RNAcentral.
GUCUUUUUGAAUUAAUAUUUAUUUAAAGUCUAAUCUGCUCACUGAAUUAAAAUUUAAAGAGCCGCAGUAUUUUAACUGUGCAAAGGUAGCAUAAUAAUUUGUUUUUUAAUUGAAAACUAGAAUGAAUGAUUGAACGAAAUAUAAUCUGUCUCAAUUUUAAUUUAAUAUAAAUUAAUUUUUUAGUUAAAAAGCUAAAAUUAAUUUAAAAGACGAGAAGACCCUAUAGAUUUUUAUAGAAUUAUUAAUUAAUUUUUACAUAUAUAAGUAUAUUUAUAUUUAUUAAUAAUUAUAUUUUAUUGGGGUAAUAAAAAAAUUAAAAAAACUUUUAUUAAAUAAAAACAUUAAUUAAUGAGAAAUUGAUCCAAAUUUAAUGAUUAAAAGAUUAAAUUACCUUAGGGAUAACAGCGUAAUUUUAGUUUUAAGUUCUUAUUGAAAUUAAAGAUUGCGACCUCGAUGUUGGAUUAAGAAAAAUUUUAAAAGUAGAUUUUUAAAUUUUAGGUCUGUUCGACCUUUAAAAUCUU